RNAcentral lists this ribosomal RNA (253 nucleotides) under uncultured bacterium. RNAcentral describes it as "partial 16S ribosomal RNA". It matches the Rfam family "Bacterial small subunit ribosomal RNA", at positions 524 to 776 of the family's 1533-position model. The record is from RNAcentral.
UACGGAGGGUGCAAGCGUUAUCCGGAAUCAUUGGGUUUAAAGGGUCCGCAGGCGGUCGUAUAAGUCAGUGGUGAAAGCCUACAGCUCAACUGUAGAACUGCCAUUGAUACUGUACGACUUGAAUUCGAUCGAAGUGGGCGGAAUGUGACAUGUAGCGGUGAAAUGCUUAGAUAUGUCACAGAACACCGAUAGCGAAGGCAGCUCACUAGGUCUGGAUUGACGCUCAGGGACGAAAGCGUGGGGAGCAAACAGG